UAGCUCAGUUGGUAGAGCAUGGUGUUUGCAAUGCCAGGGUUGUGGGUUCGGUUCCCAC
Molecule: non-coding RNA, 58 nt
Organism: Salmo salar (Atlantic salmon)
Lineage: Eukaryota; Metazoa; Chordata; Actinopteri; Salmoniformes; Salmonidae
Source: Rfam